AUGAAUGUCCUAGUGGAUUGAAAACACGAAAGGACGGUCCAGGAAAAAGUUAGAGACAUAAACAAAAAAUAAUCGUCCCGGUAGAUUGAACCCGAAAGAGAAAUAUAGGCAGAAGUUAGGGAUUAUGACAAGUAACUGCAUCAGGCCAGACUUGAUCACUUGAAGCAACAAUGUCUAUCACAGGUUCCCUUUCCGUCAUCCUCGACCGAAGUUCUGAACAUAG
RNAcentral lists this long non-coding RNA (223 nucleotides) under Lathyrus oleraceus (garden pea). RNAcentral describes it as "Pisum sativum (pea) long non-coding RNA (PSAT_LNC019231)". Lineage: Eukaryota; Viridiplantae; Streptophyta; Magnoliopsida; Fabales; Fabaceae. The record is from RNAcentral.